UGAAGGGGAGGUGGAGGGGGGAUGGGUUAAAUGGGUGAUGGGUAUUAAGGAGGGCACCUUUUGGGAAGAAGACCGGUGUCCUAUGUAAGAGAUGAAUCACUGGGUUGUACUCCUGAAGCUAAGACUACACCGUCUCUUAUAGACAUCUC
This is a long non-coding RNA of Prionailurus viverrinus (fishing cat), 149 nucleotides long. RefSeq lists it as uncharacterized. The record is from RefSeq and is a predicted model, not a curated record. The transcript is spliced from 3 exons. Lineage: Eukaryota; Metazoa; Chordata; Mammalia; Carnivora; Felidae.